UACGGAGGAGGCAAGCGUUAUCCGGAUUUAUUUGGCGUAAAGCGUCCGCAGGUGGUUUAUCAAGUCUGCUGUUAAAGCGCGAAGCUUAACUUCGUAAGGGCAGUGGAAACUGAUGAACUAGAGGGUGAUAGGGGCAGAGGGAAUUCCCAGUGUAGCGGUGAAAUGCGUAGAGAUUGGGAAGAACACCGGUGGCGAAAGCGCUCUGCUGGGUCACACCUGACACUGAGGGACGAAAGCUAGGGGAGCGAAAGGG
RNAcentral lists this ribosomal RNA (253 nucleotides) under uncultured bacterium. RNAcentral describes it as "partial 16S ribosomal RNA". It matches the Rfam family "Bacterial small subunit ribosomal RNA", at positions 524 to 776 of the family's 1533-position model. The record is from RNAcentral.